RNAcentral lists this ribosomal RNA (492 nucleotides) under uncultured bacterium. RNAcentral's name for it is "partial 16S ribosomal RNA". It matches the Rfam family "Bacterial small subunit ribosomal RNA", at positions 29 to 507 of the family's 1533-position model. The record is from RNAcentral.
AGUGAACGCUGGCGGUAGGCCUAACACAUGCAAGUCGAACGGCAGCACAGUAAGAGCUUGCUCUUACGGGUGGCGAGUGGCGGACGGGUGAGGAAUACAUCGGAACCUACUUUUUCGUGGGGGAUCACGUAGGGAAACUUACGCUAAUACCGCAUACGACCUACGGGUGAAAGCAGGGGAUCUUCGGACCUUGCGCGAUUGAAUGAGCCGAUGUCGGAUUAGCUAGUUGGCGGGGUAAAGGCCCACCAAGGCGACGAUCCGUAGCUGGUCUGAGAGGAUGAUCAGCCACACUGGAACUGAGACACGGUCCAGACUCCUACGGGAGGCAGCAGUGGGGAAUAUUGGACAAUGGGCGCUAGCCUGAUCCAGCCAUACCGCGUGGGUGAAGAAGGCCUUCGGGUUGUAAAGCCCUUUUGUUGGGAAAGAAAAGCAGCAGGUUAAUACCCCGCUGUUCUGACGGUACCCAAAGAAUAAGCACCGGCUAACUUCGUG